This 44-nucleotide microRNA precursor is filed under the name Capra hircus (goat). RNAcentral's name for it is "miRNA (ENSCHIG00010028500.1)". The record is from RNAcentral. Lineage: Eukaryota; Metazoa; Chordata; Mammalia; Artiodactyla; Bovidae.
UGAGCUCCUCGUCGUUGCGGAUGGCCAGCUGCAGGUGACGCGGG